RNAcentral lists this ribosomal RNA (402 nucleotides) under uncultured bacterium. RNAcentral's name for it is "partial 16S ribosomal RNA". It matches the Rfam family "Archaeal small subunit ribosomal RNA", at positions 473 to 873 of the family's 1478-position model. The record is from RNAcentral.
ACACCGGCAGCUCGAGUGGUAGCCGCUUUUAUUGGGCCUAAAGCGUCCGUAGCCGGUCUGAUAAGUCUCUGGUGAAAUCCCGCAGCUUAACUGUGGGAAUUGCUGGAGAUACUAUCAUGACUCGAGGUCGGGAGAGGCUGGAGGUACUCCCAGGGUAGGGGUGAAAUCCUGUAAUCCUGGGAGGACCACCUGUGGCGAAGGAGUCCAGCUGGAACGAACCUGACGGUGAGGGACGAAAGCCAGGGGCGCGAACCGGAUUAGAUGCCCGGGUAGUCCUGGCCGUAAACGAUGUGGACUUGGUGUUGGGAUGGCUUCGAGCUGCCCCAGUGCCGAAGGGAAGCUGUUAAGUCCACCGCCUGGGAAGUACGGCCGCAAGGCUGAAACUUAAAUGAAUUGGCGGGG